AUUGAACGCUGGCGGCAUGCCUUACACAUGCAAGUCGAACGGCAGCGCGGGAGCAAUCCUGGCGGCGAGUGGCGAACGGGUGAGUAAUAUAUCGGAACGUGCCCAGUAGUGGGGGAUAGCCCGGCGAAAGCCGGAUUAAUACCGCAUGAGACCUGAGGGUGAAAGCGGGGGAGUCGCAAGACCUCGCGCUAUUGGAGCGGCCGAUAUCAGAUUAGCUAGUUGGUGGGGUAAAGGCCUACCAAGGCAACGAUCUGUAGUUGGUCUGAGAGGACGACCAGCCACACUGGGACUGAGACACGGCCCAGACUCCUACGGGAGGCAGCAGUGGGGAAUUUUGGACAAUGGGCGCAAGCCUGAUCCAGCAAUGCCGCGUGCAGGAAGAAGGCCUCGGUU
This 393-nucleotide ribosomal RNA is filed under the name uncultured bacterium. Its description in RNAcentral is "bacterial SSU rRNA". It matches the Rfam family "Bacterial small subunit ribosomal RNA", at positions 29 to 424 of the family's 1533-position model. The record is from RNAcentral.